This 497-nucleotide ribosomal RNA is filed under the name uncultured bacterium. Its description in RNAcentral is "partial 16S ribosomal RNA". It matches the Rfam family "Bacterial small subunit ribosomal RNA", at positions 28 to 507 of the family's 1533-position model. The record is from RNAcentral.
GAUGAACGCUGGCGGCGUGCCUAACACAUGCAAGUCGAGCGAACGGACGAGACGUUUGCGUCUCUGACGAUAGCGGCGGACGGGUGAGUAACACGAGGAUAACCUACCUAUAAGACUGGGAUAAUUUCGGGAAACCGGAGCUAAUACGGGAUAAUAUUCUGAACCGUAUGGUUCAAAAGAGAAUGACGGCCUUGCUGUAACUUAUAGCUGGUUCCGCGCUGCAUUAGCUAGUAGGUAAGGUAACGGCUUUCCAAGGUGACGAGGCGUAUCCGACGGGUGGGACGGGUCGGCCACACGAGAACGUAGACACGGUCCAGACGCCUACGGGAGGCAGCAGUAGGGAAUCUGCCGCAAUGGGCGGAAGCCUGACACAGCAACGCCGCGUGUGUGAUGAAGGUCUUCGGUGCGUAAAGCUCUGUUAUGGGGUAAGAACAUAUGUGUAAGGAGCUGUGCACAUCUUGACGGUACCGAAUCAAGAAGCCACGGCUAACUACGUG